AUAAAAUAAAACAGUAUCGCUAGUUCAGCUCCUAUCCUGCCUUCUGUCGUGUUGUGACCGGGCAGCUGUGAAGCAGUGGAAGUGUGGAACACCGCAGGGACCGAGCAGCGGCGGAGGACCCGCAGGUGUUUUUGUCCACUCUCACUUUUUCAUGGUGUCACAAAGAGACUUAAGUGGUUACAGAAAAGGAAAUGAAGUCCAAAUUUGCAAUUCAACAAGGUUACUUCGGUGUCAAUAAAAUACCUUUCAUCAACGCUUUAUGGCCAUUGUACUUGGAUAUCUUCAUUUGCAUGCAUUUGCCUCAUGUGGCAAUGCUCACUUUCCUAGGUAUGUGUUCAUCUUUUUUAAUAUCCAUUGAAAAUUUGGCUCAGAAUCAACUCUUUAGUGGUUUAAGUUCAUCCGCUCACACAGGUAAUCCAUGAAAGAACAGGUAUUUUAAAUGCUCCUCAGAGAAAUAAAUUGCUGCUUUAUGUGUGGUUUGGGUGUUUCAGGUACUCCCAUAAAGAAAAAUAAAUACUGUUUAUGAUCACUGGGUAUGUACUUGUAUAUCUGAA
Long non-coding RNA from Passer montanus (Eurasian tree sparrow), 554 nucleotides. RefSeq lists it as uncharacterized. The record is from RefSeq and is a predicted model, not a curated record. Lineage: Eukaryota; Metazoa; Chordata; Aves; Passeriformes; Passeridae. The transcript has 3 exons.